This 68-nucleotide transfer RNA is filed under the name uncultured Agrococcus sp. It matches the Rfam family "tRNA". Rfam says of the family: Transfer RNA (tRNA) molecules are approximately 80 nucleotides in length. Their secondary structure includes four short double-helical elements and three loops (D, anti-codon, and T loops). Further hydrogen bonds mediate the characteristic L-shaped molecular structure. tRNAs have two regions of fundamental functional importance: the anti-codon, which is responsible for specific mRNA codon recognition, and the 3' end, to which the tRNAs corresponding amino acid is attached (by aminoacyl-tRNA synthetases). tRNAs cope with the degeneracy of the genetic code in two manners: having more than one tRNA (with a specific anti-codon) for a particular amino acid; and 'wobble' base-pairing, i.e. permitting non-standard base-pairing at the 3rd anti-codon position. Lineage: Bacteria; Bacillati; Actinomycetota; Actinomycetes; Micrococcales; Microbacteriaceae. The record is from RNAcentral.
CCGUAGCUCAAUUGGUAGAGCGCCUGCUUUGCACGCAGGAGGUCAGGAGUUCGAUUCUCCUCGGGUCC